GGAAGGGCAGGGCCCCACAGCCCCGCAAGCGCAAGCGCAUCUUCCGAGUCCUAACCGCCUCUCACAGUGCCGCAGGCCUGGGCCUGGGGACCCUCAGCUCCACAUGGCAGCGCUGCGAGAGGAGCUCAGACAGCACAGCUUCUGGAGGCAGGUCCUGCCCGCCUCGCUGAGAUCACCCAGUGUCUCUGCUACUUGGUGGCCCUGUGACCUUGGUACAAUGACCUACUUACCUGCUCCCAGGCAAUGCUAACCCUGUCUAAAGUGAUGCCCAGGAUUCAGGCAGCCAUGACAAGGUCCCCAGGAGCCCAGGUGACGGCCCUCCCAGCUCCCCGAAGUAAGAGGAACAGUCACGUGACUUGACUUGGCCCGCAC
This is a long non-coding RNA of Fukomys damarensis (Damara mole-rat), 372 nucleotides long. RefSeq lists it as uncharacterized. The transcript has 3 exons. The record is from RefSeq and is a predicted model, not a curated record. NCBI's taxonomy places the organism in Eukaryota, Metazoa, Chordata, Mammalia, Rodentia, Bathyergidae.